RNAcentral lists this unclassified non-coding RNA (300 nucleotides) under uncultured Piptocephalidaceae. RNAcentral's name for it is "sequence contains 5.8S rRNA gene, ITS2". The stretch from base 1 to 73 matches the Rfam family "5.8S ribosomal RNA", at positions 84 to 154 of the family's 154-position model. The record is from RNAcentral. Lineage: Eukaryota; Fungi; Zoopagomycota; Zoopagomycetes; Zoopagales; Piptocephalidaceae.
GUGAAUCAUCGAAUCUUUGAACGCAUAUUGCACCCGACAGGCUCGCUUGUCGGGUCUGCCUGUCUGAGUAUCAGUACGGACCCAAUCAACAAUGAAAGGUUAUUAAUUUAGCUGGACAAUGUUGUGUUGGUGCUCACUAGAGGUCUCUUUAGACCUUUGGUGGAUUUGAGUGUUCAGUCAUCAUUUUUUGGUUGAUCACUUGAAAUGUAUUGGUGUCGUCUAGCUGACAGUCGCCGCGUAAGCAUUGUUAAUCAUCUUUAUUGAUGUUCCUUGCUAUUACAUGGACCAACGACAAUAAGC